Molecule: long non-coding RNA, 1168 nt
Organism: Phascolarctos cinereus (koala)
Lineage: Eukaryota; Metazoa; Chordata; Mammalia; Diprotodontia; Phascolarctidae
Source: RefSeq, a predicted model, not a curated record
CCUGGGGAAGGAGUGUGUUGGGCCAGCCCCGGGGUCCGGGGCUUCAAAGGUAGCUUCCCUGCCUACCUGCCUGCUUUAGGGGCUGCUUAUCCCCGGAAGGGAGAGACUUGGGGCUCAUAUUUCCCCUUGGCUGGCCUCCAAGCCGACCUAGACAGAAGACGGAGCUGCGACGUCGCUUUAGUUUUGGAAGAAGUUAGACCUUCCUCCUAUCAGCCCUGCGAUAAGACCCCCCUUUAUCUGCUCAUGGAGAGAAAGCUGGAAGGGACCCCAGAAGUCUUCAGAACCAAUCCUUUCAUUUUGACAGAUGAAGUACAGAGAAAUGAAGUGAAUUGACCAAGAUCACAAGCGUGGGGAAAAAGCCUAGUCUACAUGGAAGGGACUUCAACAGAUGUUCCUAGCACACCAUCUAACUGCUUAUGAUAGUUGGAGGCUUCAUUACUUGCCAAUGAACACCUGACCCUGAACUCUGGCUUUGGCCUGAAGAGAUCUGAAGACAGCAGCUUUUCCUGGUAAUCGUGGAAAGACUCUGGAAUUGGGAAUAGCCACCUCAGAUUUUCAAACAACUGCAGAGGGUGACAUCUGGUAGGGAAGACUGCUGAGCCAACAGCUGUUUUCUAUUAAUGGCUAAAGCCCCUGGUGCUCUGCACACAGUGAUAUUGUGUCUCCUGAUUGUCUUCCAAUCUCCUCCAGCCAACCGUCACCCUCACCUCAUUGUCUCCGGAUCCCCUCCUCCAGUAAGAAACCAGGGCAGAGGGCCUUUCCAAGUGUCCCUCAUAUCACACUGCAUGGGGUAGACCUUGUCUUCAAGUUUCAAAUUCCAUACUUCAGAUGAGCCUUUGAAGGUCAAACUUUCAAGUUGAUGGAAGUACAGAAAAAAAUAAAAAUAAACUUAACUGAAGCAAAUUGUAGGCCAAGGAGGGAUAUGACCAACAUCUCCUGGCCCAAAUCUUCUCCUGGGAGAAGCAGGAAGUUAAAAUGUUUCUGGCUUUUUGGUUCAGUUAUCAAGACUAUAUUUAUAUCAUUGAAGACAUUUGAUAUCAUGAUUGAUCAUACUGCUUUUUGAAUUCACCUGAAGCAUAAUAGAUUAUACUCCAGUAUCUUAUUUUAAUUUUGUGUGAAUUUUUAUGUUUCAACUAUGUAAAUAAUAUACUGUUUCUUGUAAACAAUA